RNAcentral lists this transfer RNA (64 nucleotides) under Potorous longipes (long-footed potoroo). RNAcentral's name for it is "tRNA-Lys". The record is from RNAcentral. Lineage: Eukaryota; Metazoa; Chordata; Mammalia; Diprotodontia; Potoroidae.
CAUUUUUGAGAAAAAUAUAAAUACUAUAUGUAUUAUACAGGCCUUAACAAGCCCUCAAAAAUCA